GACGAACGCUGGCGGCGUGCUUAACACAUGCAAGUCGAACGGAAAGGCCCUGCUUUUGUGGGGUGCUCGAGUGGCGAACGGGUGAGUAACACGUGUGUAACCUGCCCUUGACUUUGGGAUAACUUCAGGAAACUGGGGCUAAUACCGGAUAGGAGCUCCUGCUGCAUGGUGGGGGUUGGAAAGUUUCGGCGGUUGGGGAUGGACUCGCGGCUUAUCAGCUUGUUGGUGGGGUAGUGGCUUACCAAGGCUUUGACGGGUAGCCGGCCUGAGAGGGUGACCGGCGACAUGGGGACUGAGAGACGGCGCAGACGCGUACGGGAGGCAGCAGGGGGGAAUAUUGCACAAUGGGCGGAAGCCUGAUGCAGCAACGCCGCGUGCGGGAUGACGGCCUUCGGGUUGUAAACCGCUUUCGCCUGUGACGAAGCGUGAGUGACGGUAAUGGGUAAAGAAGCACCGGCUAACUACGUG
Molecule: ribosomal RNA, 468 nt
Filed under: uncultured bacterium
Lineage: Bacteria
Description: partial 16S ribosomal RNA
Rfam family: Bacterial small subunit ribosomal RNA
Source: RNAcentral